CGGAUUAGUGGCGAACGGGUGAGUAAUACGUGAGUAACCUGCCCUUGACUCUGGGAUAAGCCUGGGAAACUGGGUCUAAUACUGGAUACUACCUCUUACCGCAUGGUGGGUGGUGGAAAGGGUUUUACUGGUUUUGGAUGGGCUCACGGCCUAUCAGCUUGUUGGUGGGGUAAUGGCUCACCAAGGCGACGACGGGUAGCCGGCCUGAGAGGGUGACCGGCCACACUGGGACUGAGACACGGCCCAGACUCCUACGGGAGGCAGCAGUGGGGAAUAUUGCACAAUGGGCGGAAGCCUGAUGCAGCGACGCCGCGUGAGGGAUGACGGCCUUCGGGUUGUAAACCUCUUUCAGUAGGGAAGAAGCGAGAGUGACGGUACCUGCAGAAGAAGCGCCGGCUAACUACGUGCCAGCAGCCGCGGUAAUACGUAGGGCGCAAGCGUUGUCCGGAAUUAUUGGGCGUAAAGAGCUCGUAGGCGGUUUGUCGCGUCUGCUGUGAAAGCCCGGGGCUCAACCCCGGGUCUGCAGUGGGUACGGGCAGACUAGAGUGCAGUAGGGGAGACUGGAAUUCCUGGUGUAGCGGUGAAAUGCGCAGAUAUCAGGAGGAACACCGAUGGCGAAGGCAGGUCUCUGGGCUGUUACUGACGCUGAGGAGCGAAAGCAUGGGGAGCGAACAGGAUUAGAUACCCUGGUAGUCCAUGCCGUAAACGUUGGGCACUAGGUGUGGGGGGACAUUCCACGUUUUCCGCGCCGUAGCUAACGCAUUAAGUGCCCCGCCUGGGGAGUACGGCCGCAAGGCUAAAACUCAAAGGAAUUGACGGGGGCCCGCACAAGCGGCGGAGCAUGCGGAUUAAUUCGAUGCAACGCGAAGAACCUUACCAAGGCUUGACAUUCACCGGACCGCCCCAGAGAUGGGGUUUCCCUUCGGGGCUGGUGGACAGGUGGUGCAUGGUUGUCGUCAGCUCGUGUCGUGAGAUGUUGGGUUAAGUCCCGCAACGAGCGCAACCCUCGUUCUAUGUUGCCAGCACGUGAUGGUGGGGACUCAUAGGAGACUGCCGGGGUCAACUCGGAGGAAGGUGGGGAUGACGUCAAAUCAUCAUGCCCCUUAUGUCUUGGGCUUCACGCAUGCUACAAUGGCCGGUACAAAGGGUUGCGAUACUGUGAGGUGGAGCUAAUCCCAAAAAGCCGGUCUCAGUUCGGAUUGAGGUCUGCAACUCGACCUCAUGAAGUCGGAGUCGCUAGUAAUCGCAGAUCAGCAACGCUGCGGUGAAUACGUUCCCGGGCCUUGUACACACCGCCCGUCAAGUCACGAAAGUUGGUAACACCCGA
Molecule: ribosomal RNA, 1327 nt
Filed under: Kocuria sp.
Lineage: Bacteria; Bacillati; Actinomycetota; Actinomycetes; Micrococcales; Micrococcaceae
Description: bacterial SSU rRNA
Rfam family: Bacterial small subunit ribosomal RNA
Source: RNAcentral